RNAcentral lists this ribosomal RNA (561 nucleotides) under uncultured bacterium. Its description in RNAcentral is "partial 16S ribosomal RNA". It matches the Rfam family "Bacterial small subunit ribosomal RNA", at positions 355 to 1375 of the family's 1533-position model. The record is from RNAcentral.
UGGGGAAUAUUGCACAAUGGGCGAAAGCCUGAUGCAGCAACGCCGCGUGAGUGAUGAAGGCCUUCGGGUUGUAAAGCUCUGUCUUUUGGGACGAUAAUGACGGUACCAAAGGAGGAAGCCACGGCUAACUACGUGCCAGCAGCCGCGGUAAUACGUAGGUGGCAAGCGUUGUCCGGAUUUACUGGGCGUAAAGGAUGCGUAGGCGGAUUUUAAGUGAGAUGUGAAAACCCUAAGCUUAACUUGGGGACUGCAUUUCAUACUGGAAAUCUAGAGUGCGGGAGAGGAGAAUGGAAUUCCUAGUGUAGCGGUGAAAUGCGUAGAGAUUAGGAAGAACACCAGUGGCGAAGGCGAUUCUCUGGACCGUAACUGACGCUGAGGCAUGAAAGCGUGGGUAGCAAACAGGAUUAGAUACCCUGGUAGUCCACGCCGUAAACGAUGAGUACUAGGUGUAGGAGGUAUCGACCCCUUCUGUGCCGCAGUUAACACAAUAAGUACUCCGCCUGGGAAGUACGAUCGCAAGAUUAAAACUCAAAUGAAUUGACGGGGUCAUAGCUGUUUCCU